AUUCUUUUGUUUAUUACGGCCAUUGGUUUUUCUGCGCCUUUUCUUCAGUUAUUACGGCCUUUUAGUUUUCUUCAUUUCCUUGAUUUAAUUAUACGCGUGCAAAUCUCUUUUCACGAUUUGCACCUGUUGGCGUUCUAUUUAAACCCCCAGCAAACCGGUAAGCUUUGCUUUAGUGUCACUUGCGUUACAUGAAAGCCGGUAACUUGGUCUGUUUGUGUAUGCAGGGAACCUUCAUGAGAAAGACCUGAGGAGGUGUGGAAGGCAAAGCCAAAAGGACGAUUCCAGAGGUGUCAGUGACUGUAGAGGGAGAAUGCUGGUGCUCUUGGCUGGGGACGCAGGACAUUCCACUGGCCCUGGAUUACGGAGGACACAUAUUUAAAUUGUACCUGCCCUGAAUGGGGAACUUCUGAAGUUAACCAAACCCGUUACUGUUUAGAUUUUUAUUUCUCUUGAAGUUUGGGGAAAAGUAAAGACUGAGAAUGCAGUGUUUCAUCACUUUUUGUUAGCUACUUUUUCUAUACUUUACUUUUGUAUGAUGAGUAUGAUGUAUAACAAUAUGUAUGUUUCUUAACUUAUGAAAGUGUCACCAAAAAUCAAACACAAAAACACCAUCUGAGUCCUUUGUGCUUGACUGAGGACAGCACAAUGAGACCAGAUUGUUCAAUAAAUCAGCUUAACCUGAAAUCCGAGGAGACGAACAUACACACGUGUUUGAUCCAUGAAUGUUCCUCCCAGCCCAGCUGUUCACAG
Long non-coding RNA from Anguilla rostrata (American eel), 750 nucleotides. RefSeq lists it as uncharacterized. The record is from RefSeq and is a predicted model, not a curated record. The transcript is spliced from 3 exons. Lineage: Eukaryota; Metazoa; Chordata; Actinopteri; Anguilliformes; Anguillidae.